Molecule: transfer RNA, 72 nt
Organism: Sugiyamaella lignohabitans
Lineage: Eukaryota; Fungi; Ascomycota; Dipodascomycetes; Dipodascales; Trichomonascaceae
Rfam family: tRNA
About the family: Transfer RNA (tRNA) molecules are approximately 80 nucleotides in length.
Source: Rfam
ACACUAUUGGCCUAAUGGUAAGGCGUCUGUCUCCUAAACAGAAGACUGCGGGUUCGAGUCCCGUGUAGUGUG